GGACCCGCACAAGUAGUGGAGCAUGUGGUUUAAUUCGAAGAUACGCGCAGAACCUUACCAACACUUGACAUGUUCGUCGCGACUUUAAGAGAUUAAAGUUUUCGGUUCGGCCGGACGAAACACAGGUGCUGCAUGGCUGUCGUCAGCUCGUGUCGUGAGAUGUUGGGUUAAGUCCCGCAACGAGCGCAACCCUCACUUUUAGUUGCCAUCAUUUAGUUGGGCACUCUGAAAGAACUGCCAGUGAUAAGCUGGAGGAAGGUGGGGAUGACGUCAAGUCCUCAUGGCCCCUUACGUGUUGGGCUACACACGUGCUACAAUGGUAUCUACAACAGGAAGCAAAACGGCAACGUUAAGCAAAUCCUUAAAAGAUACCUCAGUUCGGAUUGCACUCUGCAACUCGAGUGCAUGAAGCUGGAAUUACUAGUAAUCG
RNAcentral lists this ribosomal RNA (430 nucleotides) under uncultured bacterium. RNAcentral describes it as "bacterial SSU rRNA". It matches the Rfam family "Bacterial small subunit ribosomal RNA", at positions 917 to 1344 of the family's 1533-position model. The record is from RNAcentral.